AUAUUGUGUUUUUAAUACUUAAAUGCAAGAACAAAGUUAAGUUUUCCUUAUUAAAAUGCAAAGCCUAGUGUCUUCUAGCCUUUUGAAGAGCUUUUGUUCAUUAUAUAAUCUGUAAAGUAGCCAAGAGUUCCUCAGAAGCAGGACAUCAUUUAGGUUUAAUACAAUUAUGGCUUGUGUGUAAAAUAAUGUUGUGGCUUAACUGUUCAUACUUUAGUGGCAGAAUCCUUAGUUCAAUUCACCUUAAAGACUUUACCAAGGUUCCUGAGAACAAAAAUGAUUAGGCAUUUUGAUUCUACCAAAGUUUACAUGUCUAGAAAGCUAAAUGACACAGUUAUAAGCAUAGACCUUUUAUUUUUUUCCCAGAUGUUUGACAGUGUAAACAUACAUAAAAUACAUAUUAAAGUUUAGAUGCUUUAUAUUUUGUGCAAUAAAUCGAAGCCUUAAAAAGAAAACAUCUCAUUAAAAAAAAUUAGUUUUACUUAAGACAGAAAAGUAGCAGCAAGUACCAAGACAUUGUGCACUUCUUUUAUUUAAGACAAGUUACUCAUUUACAUCAGAGUCAGAAAUGUAAGACUGGCUUUCUUGAAUACUUAACAUAGCUUGAAUCACUGGUUAGGUAGGGGCAUAUUUUCCCAACUGUACAUCAGGGAGGAGGCUUUCAUUAGUUUUAAGAAAAUGCUGACCCUCAGCCAGCCAGCAUGACCAUAGCAUUGAGCAUUAAGAGAAAUGAAACAUUUACUUCCCAAGCACAUGCCACAGAAGGUAAGUGAGUCUUUACAUUUGCAGUUGUUUCUUCCCUCUGUAAGUUAAGGGUUGUGCUUUGUUGAGGCAUUUCUGAGAAGUUUUUUGGCAUGCCACUAGUGAUACUUAGGGUCAUAGGUGUUGGGGAUGAUUUUGCUGAGCUAGUGAGGCUUGUGUUUGUAACCAUUCCAUCUUGGAGAUGAAUAGUUAGAGUUGCAGCUGCUGCUUCAUGGGAAUUGAUGGUUUCUGUAGAUGUAUCUUCUGGAUAGGGCUCCAAAGCCUUAUCAGUGCUAGUAAAGGUGGUGUCUUUGCUUAAUGUGACACCAAACGUUGUUUCCUUUGUUCGAUAUUUGGGUAUUUUGGUCACUUUGGGUUGAGUUACCAUACUCAGAGAAUUAAUGGUGUCCACUGUUUGCAUCCCACUUACAGUGAAUAAACUUGAGGUAAAUCCAGAAGGUGUGGGAUAUAUGUUAUGUUCCUUCAAGGAUGAUAUCUGGUUAGAACAAGGAGUUCCUAUCACAUGAGCUUUUGUUUCCAUCAUCCACUUAAGUAAGUAAGUAAUGUUUUGUUUAUGGUCACAUGACCACCUGUUAUUGUGAAGGGUUAUUUCUUGCAACUGCAAGAGUUGGUCAAAAGAUUGAUCUGGAAUGAAUGUGAACUUAUUGUUGUGCAGGUAAAGAUGUGUGAGGUUUGUCAGGUUUAUUAAUGUUCCUGGAAGGAUUUGUGUCAAGGAAUUAUUAGACAGGUCCACAAUAUGUAGUUUAGAGGGCAUGUUGGUUGGAACUGUCCAAAGUUUGUUACUGCUGAGGUUGAGGACCUCAAGACUUCUUAAUGUAUUUUUAAUGAGGACAACCUUUUCCAGCAUGUUCUUAGAAACAUCCAGAUAUUUAAGGUUCCACUGAUAAGCAGUAUCAGAUUUGUCAAGAAGUUUAAUAUUGUUGUUAGCAGCAGACAUGUUCCAGAGAGACCGAGGUAACUGAGCAGGCAGGCUUUCAAGCCUGUUGUUUGAAAUGUCCAGUGUCCUCAGAUUGGUAUAUUGGGUUAACUGGUUAUGCAGAUCAGUAAAGUGGUUAUAAGACAGGUUUAAAUGUAUAAUGUUCUCUUGGAGUCCGGAUGGUAAUGUAGUCAAGUUUCUGCCUGAACAGUCCACAUGCCUGUGUCUCUCUGUACAUAUACAUUGGAGAGGACAAAUGCAUAAAAUACCAGGUGUGAGAAACAGGAGGAUGAACAGGCAGGGAGACAUUUUCAAUAUCUGAUAUUCC
This 2003-nucleotide long non-coding RNA is filed under the name Marmota monax (woodchuck). Lineage: Eukaryota; Metazoa; Chordata; Mammalia; Rodentia; Sciuridae. The record is from RNAcentral.